Molecule: ribosomal RNA, 465 nt
Filed under: uncultured bacterium
Lineage: Bacteria
Description: partial 16S ribosomal RNA
Rfam family: Bacterial small subunit ribosomal RNA
Source: RNAcentral
CCUACGGGUUGCUGCAGUGGGGAAUAUUGCGCAAUGGGCGAAAGCCUGACGCAGCGACGCCGCGUGAGGGAUGAAGGUCUUCGGAUCUUAAACCUCUGUCAGCAGGGAAGAACGGUCACUGUGCUAAUCAGCAGUGAAUUGACGGUACCUGCAAAGGACGCACCGGCUAACUCCGUGCCAGCAGCCGCGGUAAUACGGAGGGUGCGAGCGUUAAUCGGAAUUACUUGGCGUAAAGCGCUCGUAGGCGGUAUGUCAAGUCAAGGGUGAAAUCCCCGCGCUCAACGUGGGAACUGCGUUUGAAACUGGCAGGCUUGAGUGUGUGAGAGGAUAGUGGAAUUCCAGGUGUAGGAGUGAAAUCCGUAGAUAUCUGGAGGAACAUCGGUGGCGAAGGCGACUAUCGGGAACAUAACUGACGCGGAGGAGCGAAAGCGUGGGUAGCAAACAGGAUUAGAUACCCGAGUAGUC